AUCACGCGAGCGUUGUGUCUCGGCUGGCGGGAGCCGGGGACGGGAAAGGAGAGUGCUCGGUGCGUGGGCUGGGCGUGCCUGCGUCCCCUCGAGCCCCACGGGGCACCCUCCCCACUUGCCUGUGGCCUCGGAGCCCGCGGGCGGUUUUGGCUCGGCGUCGCGCCCCGAGGCGGCUUCCGGGUGCGUGGCUGCGCUCGCCGAGGCCCGGGAAGUUGCCGUCGUCAAACCCAAAGGCUGACCGCCUCUGGGAGCUGCUGGCAAACGUGGGGGUGCGCGGCCGCUGAGCGCAGCCGGGGUGGCGGUGGGAUGAGAGGGCGGCGUCCCUGUUUGCGGUCAUUUUGCGGCCAGGAGGACGGGUGAGAGGGCGCCGCCCGCCGGAGGUCGGACGGGCGCCGCUGGCGGGAGUCCUCCGGUAUUUUUCGGUGUGAGGUUGCCUAGCCAGUGUGCAAGGUUGUGGCUUUUGCGGAGUCUCUCGGGACGGUCUUGUUAUCGGGCAUUCCGGCGUGAGAACGCUGCCUCUGGGGCCCUUCCCACCCUGCUUGUCAGGGUUUUAAACACAAACGACUCCGUUGUGACCUUGACAACUCUCACACAGUUCAGUUGGCUUUUAAGAUGCCUUUAAUCCCAAAAGUCCUCCCUGAGGGGUCUGGUAGUGCCGGGCAAAGACCACCGCAAGCGCCCAAGGGACGCUGUUGACACUCGGGAACUCCACCCCGGGCACCACGCAGCUUCGCCGAAGGUGUUAAUAUUGUGGCCAACUAUGAAUAGCUGUUUCAAACGACUAAUUUUGGGCCUUUCCUGUGAUUCCUGAGGUCACUUUUCAGUUAACUCAAAAACACAACUAUUGAUCACUUUACUUUCCAGUGAAUUCAAUCGAGUUAAUUAUAUUUGUUCUGUAGUUUCUUUCAAGGAAACUCCAAGCCAAACAGUAGCAAAGAACAUCCUACUUGACUGUUUUUGAGCAUAUUCAGUGAAUUCCAAGGAAAUUUUUACUGAAUUUGUAACAGAGUAGGGCACUGGCAGGUACUGAAUGAAUAAACAAAUGCCCAGAAGAAGCAGGGUCACCUUUACAUAGGAAUCUGUCUCCCCUCGUUCCUGCGUCUUCAUAAUUUUGUGUGCAUAUGUAUGUGGAGAUUAUAUCACAUAUGUAAAACAUUGCAGAGUCUAAACUCUCAACUCCAGGCAAGGGCAGUAAACCCCAAGCAAGGAAUGGAAGUGGUUUCCCUUUUCUUACUCUUCACAGUCCCUGGUUUGCUGCAGCAACAAAUUAUAUUAUGUAGAUUGUAAAUAUGCAACCGGUUAAUGCUCCUAACACCACCUUUCAUUCAAAACUAAGCCUCAACACAAAAGCAAGUAAUUGCUUUGUUGACACAGAAAGGAGCCUGAGCCUUUCUUUUGCAGCUUUCCUCUACUGGAAAAUUGUAGGAUCACAUCCUACAAAGACUUGCAUAAACAUAAGCCACGUAAAAAAUUCUGUAAUCCCAGCACUUUGGGAGGCCGAGGAGGGCAGAUCACGAGGUCAGGAGAUCAAGACCAUCCUGGCCAACAUGGUGAAACCCCGUCUCUACUAAAAAUAACAAAAAAUUAGCCGCGCAUGGCGGCGCGCACCUGGAGUCCCAGCUACUCGGGAGGCUGAGGCAGGAGAAUUACUUGAACCCGGGAGGCGGAGGUUGCAGUGAGUCGAGAUCGCACCACUGCACUCCAGCCUGGGCGACAGAGCAAGACUACGUCUCAAGAAAAAAAAAAAAAUCCUGUGCCAUGUGCCAUCCAGUGGUUGACCCAAGGAUGUAAACUAGA
Molecule: long non-coding RNA, 1797 nt
Filed under: Homo sapiens (human)
Lineage: Eukaryota; Metazoa; Chordata; Mammalia; Primates; Hominidae
Description: HSALNT0344528
Source: RNAcentral